This 29-nucleotide non-coding RNA is filed under the name Rattus norvegicus (Norway rat). The record is from RNAcentral. Lineage: Eukaryota; Metazoa; Chordata; Mammalia; Rodentia; Muridae.
UGGACAGGGCAUAUUGUGUCAUUCAUUCA